This 1085-nucleotide long non-coding RNA is filed under the name Homo sapiens (human). RNAcentral's name for it is "non-protein coding lnc-ASF1A-1:3". Lineage: Eukaryota; Metazoa; Chordata; Mammalia; Primates; Hominidae. The record is from RNAcentral.
GCGCCAUUUCGCGCCUCCGGGCCGCUCGGCUGCCCCAGGGGCGCCUGGCAAACGUGGAGUCGCUCGGUUUUGGAGGCAUGCUUUCCAAACUUUCUAAUUCACAGGGUCUUUGCACGCAGCCCCUGCCCCACAACACCUUGGCAGUCUCUGAGACUUCUGGGGCUCUUCUCCCGGGCAGCUCCCGUGCCUGUCCGGUCCCGGAGUUGAAUAGUUUUUGAAGUAAUGAGACGGGAACGAGACUUGGGACGAACUGGAGAAAAACAUAACCGCGAAAGGAGGAGGCGGCUAUCACUUACUGGCUGUGUCAGAAGUCGCCGGGAACGCGUUGCUCCCGAGGCCGAAGGGCCCAGAGAGCUCCAGCCAGGCAGCGGGUUCGUCUCCGGCGCAAGAAGGCUGUGUGACGACACAUCAAGAAGGUGACCACCUGCAAGCCAGGAACAGAGCGCUCACUGUGGAACUGAAUUGGCUGCUACCUUGAUCUUGGACUUCCCAGCUCCCAGACUGUAAGAAAUAAAUUUUUAUUGUUUGAGCCACUCAGUCCAGGUUAUUACAUUAUGGCAGCUCAAGCUGAAUAAUAUCUUGGCAAUAUGUAAAUACGUUCCCAUUAAAAUCUAACUCAUUAGUCAUAAGAUAAAUUCACUGAAAGAGUAAUAAAGCACAUUUGUAAUAACAUACAUUCACUAAAGUGAUAUAUAUUAGCUUAGUAAUGUAAAACAUUUUAACUGGACCUUAAUUGUUGCAUAUUACACCAACAGGCUUAACAUUGCUAAGGUAAGGGAAUCACUGAAUAAAUGAUGGUAUAUUCAUACAGUGUAAUACCAUGAAACCAUCAAAAGCACAUUUCAUUUGGAAGAGUAUUUCACAAUAUAAGAAAAAAUGAUAUAAGGCAAGUAUACAACGUUACAUACAAUAAGAUCCCAUUUUACAGGAGGAAAAAGUGAGUACAGAUAUAUAGAUAUAGAUAUGUAAAGAAAUAAACCAGGCCUGGCACGAUGGCUCACUCCUGUAAUACCAGCACUUCGGGAGGCCUAGGUGGGCGGAUUACCUGAGAUCAGGAGUUCAAGACCAGCCUGGCCAACAUGGCG